Molecule: ribosomal RNA, 118 nt
Filed under: Salinivibrio sp. IB282
Lineage: Bacteria; Pseudomonadati; Pseudomonadota; Gammaproteobacteria; Vibrionales; Vibrionaceae
Description: partial 23S ribosomal RNA
Rfam family: Bacterial large subunit ribosomal RNA (bases 1-101)
Source: RNAcentral
CUCUAAAGGGUUGUCGUAGACGACGACGUUGAUAGGCAGGGUGUGUAAGCGCUGUGAGGCGUUGAGCUAACCUGUACUAAUGGCCCGUGAGGCUUAACCAUACAACACCCAAGCGGUU